GAUGGUCUGAGAAAAUGCUUUUAAGGUAACUAGACAACACCAAAUCAGGCAUUUGGAAAAUAGUAAAGUCUUCAGGCAGGAGCAUACAACUGUCUAGUAUGGUGUCACAAGGAGAGCAUAAAAUGAAACACUUGGUUAAACGAAAUAAGGGAUAAAACUCUCAAUUGGAAAUAUAAGUAAUGGCACAAAACCCUCUAAAAACUCUCUCAAGCAGUGUGACCCUCUUCUGCUGCGGCUUCAAAGGUCUGCCCAGCAACAAGAUCGGGGACCUCAUCAUCAUCAUCGUCUUGGGCUGC
RNAcentral lists this long non-coding RNA (296 nucleotides) under Vitis vinifera (wine grape). RNAcentral describes it as "long non-coding RNA (VVIN_LNC005832)". Lineage: Eukaryota; Viridiplantae; Streptophyta; Magnoliopsida; Vitales; Vitaceae. The record is from RNAcentral.